This 481-nucleotide ribosomal RNA is filed under the name uncultured bacterium. Its description in RNAcentral is "partial 16S ribosomal RNA". It matches the Rfam family "Bacterial small subunit ribosomal RNA", at positions 28 to 507 of the family's 1533-position model. The record is from RNAcentral.
GACGAACGUUGGCGGCGUGCUUAAUACAUGCAAGUCAACUGAAGCAGUGGUAGCAAUAUCGCUGUGGAGGUGGCGCACGGGUGAGUAACACGUAGGUAAUCUGCCUUCAGGUCUGGCAUAACUCCGGGAAACCGGGGCUAAUAGCAGAUGAUGCAGCGGCUCGACAUCGAGACAGUUGUUAAAGCUAUGGCGCCUGAAGAUGAGCCUGCGUCUGAUUAGCUAGUUGGCGGGGUAACGGCCCACCAAGGCAACGAUCAGUAGCUGGUCUGAGAGGAUGAUCAGCCACACUGGAACGGAGACACGGUCCAGACUCCGACGGGAGGCAGCAGUAAGGAAUAUUGCUCAAUGGGAGAAAUCCUGAAGCAGCAACGCCGCGUGAGGGACGAAGGGCUUUUGCUUGUAAACCUCUGUAGUGAGAGAAAAAAAUCCCAAUCUUUGGGACAUGAUGGUAUCUCAAAAGUAAGCCCCGGCUAACUACGUG